GCUCCCGUGGCCCAAUGGCAGAGGCGAAGGGUUUAAACCCCUUUUAGGUGUCGGUUCGAGUCCGACCGGGAGCAC
Molecule: transfer RNA, 75 nt
Filed under: Streptomyces phage Tomas
Lineage: Duplodnaviria; Heunggongvirae; Uroviricota; Caudoviricetes; Stanwilliamsviridae
Description: tRNA-Leu
Rfam family: tRNA
About the family: Transfer RNA (tRNA) molecules are approximately 80 nucleotides in length. Their secondary structure includes four short double-helical elements and three loops (D, anti-codon, and T loops). Further hydrogen bonds mediate the characteristic L-shaped molecular structure. tRNAs have two regions of fundamental functional importance: the anti-codon, which is responsible for specific mRNA codon recognition, and the 3' end, to which the tRNAs corresponding amino acid is attached (by aminoacyl-tRNA synthetases). tRNAs cope with the degeneracy of the genetic code in two manners: having more than one tRNA (with a specific anti-codon) for a particular amino acid; and 'wobble' base-pairing, i.e. permitting non-standard base-pairing at the 3rd anti-codon position.
Source: RNAcentral